Long non-coding RNA from Mya arenaria, 875 nucleotides. RefSeq lists it as uncharacterized. The transcript has 3 exons. The record is from RefSeq and is a predicted model, not a curated record. NCBI's taxonomy places the organism in Eukaryota, Metazoa, Mollusca, Bivalvia, Myida, Myidae.
UCAACUCAAUGUUGUGAUUAUUCAUUUAAAAUGAUUUUAAACUUCACUUUCCAUAAAUGGCUGUUCUUACUUUUUGACUAAAUAUUAUGAGUAUUUUUACACAUUAGUAAGUCUGCCAACUCCUGGAUGGUCAGUUUUGUCAUUUAUUGGUCUUUUUUCCCUUUCAGUGAGAUUUAAAGCCAUAGAAUACAUUCAUGCCACUCAAAUUCACCCACUCAGAAUGAUGGAAAGGAUUGCAGAACUGAGUUUCACUCUCACCUGACUGAUGCAGAUUAAGUAACCUAAUUGCUCAUGAUGGUUUCUGAGAAAAAAUCAGCUUGGUGUAAUUUGACAGUAUUUGACUUUGGUUCUAUCAUGCAACAGUCAUACCAUGAAGUGUCUCACAGAUUCUCUCUCAAUUCCUGCAAUAUCCAAGAUUACAGUGUAGCGCCAAGAGGAUUAAUUUUCUUGCAAUAAGAAGUGUCUGCACUUCCAAAUACCCCAGUACAGCAUGAACAGUUCCUUCAUUUUUUGAGUGAUUAUAGAGUGAAAAUGUUUCCGUAUAAAAUGUUGUCUUUUUAUGUGUAAAACUUCACAUGUAAUGACUGGUUACAAAUACAUGCAUGGACAUUUUGAUUCCAAAUCUAUGCACAUUUUGAAUCCAAUAAUUAACCAGAAAGAAUUUUAAAUUUGGUUUGAAAAAGAAAUAUUUUCAUUUUGUUAGUUUCUAAACAGUUAGUGGUAUUAUUCCUGUUUAUAGUUUCCAUGUCAAUUUAAAAAAGUCAGUUCUUUUAAAGAUGCACUCUUACUCCCACAUUAGAUUUACCACAAUUAAUACUGUUGUUUUAUUAUUCCAAAAAAGAUGAAUAAAUGUCGAAAACAAUGGUUCUAAUGAA